Molecule: non-coding RNA, 207 nt
Organism: Cinara cedri
Lineage: Eukaryota; Metazoa; Arthropoda; Insecta; Hemiptera; Aphididae
Source: the annotation of a GenBank genome assembly
UAACCGACGUUUUUACUGCAUUUUUCUACAGGACGGUGGCCCAAACUCAAAAUUCGUUACUUAUAAUACGUUGUCCUGGUCAAGAAAAUAUCAAGUACGUACAAGUAUUAUAAAAUUGUCGUGUUGACUAUCGGACGGGCGAUCAGCGGUGCAUUUCGGAAUCGUCCGUGUCUUAUUCCGUCUUGUGCAUGCGUAUUAUACUCGUGU